UGUAAAGCAGAAGUCGCUUAAGAUCCUGUGGGGGAUACAUGUUUGCUUGUGGUGGAUCUUGUAAUCGUCAUUUCUGUUUUAGAUUCCUCUUACAGGCCACAGCUUUAUGAAAAAUUUGGAACAUGGACUGAUGUUCGAAACUCUGCUGAACAAUUUUCCCGUAAGUUUCCUUUAUCAACUCCUUACGAAUAUAUUUACGAACAGUACAAGGGACGUUUCAUUUGGACAGGACUUUCUAGAAACACGUCAUCAUCAAGACCGCUGGCUACACCAACCGAAUGCUUCAAGCUUCAACGGCGUGAACAAACGCUACACGAAAAGUCUGAAACAUGUAAUCUCAAGCUGCCAUUCUUCUGUCAAAAAGGUCCAGUUAACUGUGGUGACAGUUUAAUGCAAACCGAACUUAGUCUCAACUUUACAAUAGACAGUGGAAGUUAUGACCUAAAUUGCAUAUGGAGGAUCAAGGAAGUUGAUAACACGGUCAUUCGAAUUGACAUUUCGUUUGACAUAGAAGAUUGUCCAGAUUGUGAAUGUGACAGUUUGAAGAUUUACGACGCACCAUUGACAAAUGGACCACCAAAUAAAACAGUGUGCGGAUCCGGACAGGUGACAUUUAGUUCAACCCAAAAAGCAUUGACCAUAGUGUAUACUUCGGAUAGGUCCGAACAAGGAACCGGAUUUCAAGCUAAGUGGA
Long non-coding RNA from Dreissena polymorpha, 694 nucleotides. RefSeq lists it as uncharacterized. NCBI's taxonomy places the organism in Eukaryota, Metazoa, Mollusca, Bivalvia, Myida, Dreissenidae. The transcript is spliced from 4 exons. The record is from RefSeq and is a predicted model, not a curated record.